UUAGACAUUGAUUUCCACUAUUAUUAUGCGCCGGUCGUUGAACAUAAAUCUUUGAUUAUUAUGGUUCGACAAAUGCUUCGUGUCAAUUCACUGAAGCAGACCCAAAUCAAUUAAAUAUCCAUUAUGUAAAUUCACUGGCCACAUCCCUACUUCAUGCAUAUUUAUGUGCCAACUGGGGAAACCGCAAGACUAACCAAAAUAGAUUUUUUUGGCAGCCACAAUGCCCAAGAGUAAACAAGUGGAGACGGACACAAUAUUGCUGUGUUGUUGUGAUUGAGGAUUUCCAUAUUUACUCGGGACACAUUUUCAGUGGGUAGCCGGUAAAGAGCUAAAAAUAAGUGGAACACGGCGAUGGGGCAAUAGAAUUAGAAGCCAGUGAAACGAUUUUGCUGUCCACCUGAAAGCUAAGCCCCCAACACUUUUGGUUACAAAUCUACAAAUACGGAUUUCAAAUAGUCGAAUCCUGGUCCUGUGUGGCAUACAAAAAAAAACUGUUGCUGUUCCGGACUUAUGUAAGUUUUUGGCAGCCAACAAACAGGAUGCAAUUUCAAUGGAACAGCAGCCAAACAACAGCGCACAUUGCAUUUCACUAAAGCCGCAGACAAUCGAACUGAAAAGCAGAUCGACCAUUCAUAACCGGAAACGCACUGCUUGUGUGCGGUUGUCCAACGGCAGCGGAUGCGAAUGAAAGGAUAGUUCACUUCCGGAAUGCGGAGCUCUCAUUGUUGGCGGCGAAAGUGGACUUGUCGACUUAAACCUGCUGGCAAAAU
Drosophila melanogaster (fruit fly) is the source of this 770-nucleotide non-coding RNA. The record is from Ensembl. Lineage: Eukaryota; Metazoa; Arthropoda; Insecta; Diptera; Drosophilidae.